RNAcentral lists this ribosomal RNA (567 nucleotides) under Vibrio parahaemolyticus. Its description in RNAcentral is "partial 23S ribosomal RNA". Lineage: Bacteria; Pseudomonadati; Pseudomonadota; Gammaproteobacteria; Vibrionales; Vibrionaceae. The record is from RNAcentral.
AACGCAUGCUGGACGUAUCAGAAGUGCGAAUGCUGACAUGAGUAACGAUAAAGGGGGUGAAAAACCUCCUCGCCGGAAGACCAAGGGUUCCUGUCCAACGUUAAUCGGGGCAGGGUAAGUCGACCCCUAAGGCGAGGCCGAAAGGCGUAGUCGAUGGGAAACGGGUUAAUAUUCCCGUACUUCUUACAAUUGCGAUGGGGGGACGGAGAAGGCUAGGUGGGCCUGGCGACGGUUGUCCAGGUUCAAGUGYGUAGGCUUGAGAGUUAGGUAAAUCCGGCUCUUUUUAAGGCUGAGACACGACGUCGAGCCACUACGGUGGUGAAGUCAUUGAUGCCAUGCUUCCAGGAAAAGCCUCUAAGCUUCAGAUUGUAAGGAAUCGUACCCCAAACCGACACAGGUGGUCGGGUAGAGAAUACCAAGGCGCUUGAGAGAACUCGGGUGAAGGAACUAGGCAAAAUGGUACCGUAACUUCGGGAGAAGGUACRCUCUCGACGGUGAAGUCCCUCGCGGAUGGAGCUAUUGAGAGUCGCAGAUACCAGGUGGCUGCAACUGUUUAUUAAAAACACA